UAUUGCAUUGAAGUUUUAUUAAGAGAAAAUAGGCUGAGCAACUAUGCGAUAGGAAUAGUACGUUGUUGUUCAAAGACAUUGUCUGAAGGGAAGUUCGACACAAAGACCAGUCAAGUAUAGUAUAGAAUUUAUACGAACUAGUUCACCACCACAAUAUACCAGAUCAAUUAUGGUAACGCGCCUAGAAGUACAAACGAACUCGCACAUGCCACAGCAAGUCCACUAACUCACAAAAGCUUCCAUUUUACAAGAUUUAAAUCAUACCUUAUGCCGCAAUAAAACGAUCAAAAUAAAUAUAAAGGACAUAUAAUCAUACUUAACCCACUGUUGUUGUUUUUUGUUUGUUUUUUUUUUCAACCAAAACUAAGGAAAGGCUAAAACCCAAUGGUAGGUAAAAGACUUUCGCCAUGGACUUUACUUUGAUCAUUUCUAAGGCGCUCGUUUUUUAGAAUUUAUAAGAAAAACCAUCAAUAAUUACUCAUAUUUAUCCUAGUAUUAUAUGAUUUAUUUUUUCCCCUAAAAUUCUAGCAGAAAAGGAAGCAGAGUUUGCAUUGGUUAACUUAAUCUGAAGACUCUCUAUUGAGCACAUAAGUUAAUACAAUGUUAUUAUAUUAAAUUCUAAAUAAGUAUGCACCAAUAUUAACUUGCUCCCCAAGAAGCUUACAUAUUACCCGCAUGAAAUUUAGGUAAAAUAAAAUAAUAUUUCACUCAUAGAGAACAUUUAUAACAGUCUGUGAUUAAAUAUCAAAUAUAUUUUAGUUUGUUUUGGCCGGCAAUUCAAAGUGACAGACAAUAUGUAUGCUGCUCUUCAAAAAUCUGUAUGUAUAACUAUGGUUAUAUCAAUUCUAUCUAAAAUAAUGGGGAAAAACAAAUUGAUCGAUCGUUUUUUUUUUAAUUCAUCAAAUCAAUUUUAACAUCCCAAAAUAACUUAAAUAGCCAGUAUAAUUAAAGCUCCUCUGAUAAAAACCAACUGGUCCACAUGCAGCUGGAGCAGGGUAGGCAUGAGUUAAAUACAACCAAGUUGGCCAAUGUUUGAGUAACACUUCCGAUUGAAUGAAAGUCCUUUAGAAAGUUUCUAUAUUAUGAUUAUUUUAGUAUUUCCGACAGACCUAGUGCGAAAUUGUAUGGAAAACCGCAUAUUUUAAGAAUUAUUUAUCGCUGUUAAACAGCAGUAAGAAACUAGAAUACCAAGGGGUGUCGAAAACAUUUACUGAUUGUGUCAUAAAAUCAGAUUUGUUAAGAUUUAUACCUAUGCAACGCCGACUUUCUUUAAUUAAUUUAGGUUUCCUUGACAAAUACCUCUAUGUAGCUGACAACUUCCCCAAUUAAGCUAAAUGUGACUUACAUAUCACUAAGUGACUGAUCUUUAAUGGAAACCGUAAAAGAGAACAUUGACCUAGCAAAGAAAUUGAACAUGUCAUCUAUUUUUAUGAUCGUAUUGCGCUAUCCCUAGUCAACGUAUAAGACAGUAUGAAAAAGUGAUACAUUAUUACAUAUAAGGUUGAUUUUCAAUAUUCAUGGAAUAGUUACUGCUAGAAAGUAAUACACAGUUUAAAACUUUGGAUUUACUAUGUAUCGUAGUGAACAUAGUCAUGUUUGUUGGUAUGUGAAUAGACUUGUUACAGUUUGUUAUCAAAAGGUAGAUGUCGAAUCAAGAAAUAAACGUUCAUAAGAAGGAGAGAAAAGGUGACAGGCUACUUAUCUGAAGGUUCUUUGUUUGCAUUUCCAAUGGACUGUCUGUCGAAAGGCAUGUUAGUCAAAAUGUUGAUUGCAGGGCGUUUUCAGAAAUUUGACUGUUUAGUCUUCAAGUUAUCUAUCUGAAUGCCUGCUAGUCCAAAAUAGUCGUCACUAUGAAGGUUUAUUAGCAUAAAAGUCAACAGGUAUGGAUAAACUCCUAAUUGGUCUUUAAAGUUACAAUUGUCUGAUAGUCGAGUGUCAACCUUAAACUCAAGUGUUAUUUUUUAAGAUUUUAGGUUUGGCUAAGGUUUAAUAUUAGUGCAAGUAUACAGGUGUACGGACUAGCAGACUUUCAGGCUAACUGGUUAACGGGUUUCUUCAUUGUAUUUUCGUAGGUGGUAGAAGGCGACUACUGUAAUUCAAUAUUUUAUAGGUAUGGGCUUAACUGCCGUUUGUACAACAUAUAAGUAUUUAAAGCAGAAAAUUAAUCCAGUUGCGAUGACUAUGGGACCUUCGUAUUAUAAGCCGACAAAUACAAGGUACAUUGCAUUUUUUUACAGAGUACGUCUGCUUUAAAUUGUCCAGCUGACAGUGAGAACUACGCACACUCCCACUAUCCUAUCCUUAACCCCAAAUUUAUCAUCCUGAAUAUACCAUUCAGACAUUUGUCGUAGGGCAAAUUAUCUCGAUUUGUAUAUUUACUUUUAAUUUUACAAUAAAGUAUACGAUAAAACAUAAUUAGUGGAACAGUCCUGCAGUUUUCAAUUCUAUAACUAUUCGUUUUAUUUAGAUACACAAAUGAUCCAAGGGAAAUGAUUAACAAAACAGCCAGCCCCAUAACCUCCGAAAACCCUCCAAUACUCCUUUCGUACCUGUAUCCAAUAUAAUAUAUUUGUCUCGUUAUAGUACGCUAUUACCUUACCAACCUGUGAUCCGUAGCCUUUAUGAUGAAUGCAAUGCUGCACUGCAUUCGCCUUCGCUAAAUUGUAGUGACCACUACGUUGUUUGCCAUUAUUACUUUUGAAGAAAAUAGAUAAUAUAUACAUAUCUUGGAUAUUGUUUUCAGUUUGUAGCGUCCCGUCAGUACAAAAAUGACCCACGUCCACGACAACUAUAAAUGUGUUGCCAUAUCAUAAGGUGGAGGUCAUAGCCACCAAUGAGGGCGUAAGGGCAGAUAUUAGCUCUACUGGCCGGAAGCAGGCCGUGGCACAGUUUUGAGGAUUUCCAGCAGGUGUUGACUUGCAAACACCGCACUGUAUAAUCUUAUUUUCUUUUCCCUUCUUUAAAACUACUUUGUAUGACUUGGCAUGUUAAGGUUGUUUACUAAAAGCGUCUAUUUUCAUUACUUUCGCACAUUUAACGUCAUCGGGUAGUGUACGUAGUAAAGCUUGAACCUGUUUAUAUACGAGAAUUUCCAACUCACAGUUUUUUGUUUCAUUUCUGAGCAAUAGAUGUGUUAUGUAUAUGUCAUAUUCCCCUUAGGCAAAUUAUUGUUUACUGAUCUAGUUUUAAGAUACCACGUUAAUUUUAAUCCAGAAUAUUCUAUUGUGUUCUGUAACAAUACUGGUAUACAGUGUAUGAAAGUUAUUUCUAAAAAAGCUUGUCCUUGAUUUGUCCAGAAUACCCUUUUCAUUCUUAGCAUUACUUGAAAAUUCUGGAACCUUCCAUGAUACAAUAAAUAGUGAGAUAAUUUAGGAUUAUGAUAGAACCUAGAUUGUAGAUAUUGGUGAAACUUUCCUGUUCUUCUUUAUAACAAAUAUUACCAGUUUGGAUAUUUAAUAUUUUGAAGGAUUAUUUGAAGGAUUAACUAAAAUUUGUGGAUUUAAUAUUUCAUCUUUGAAGAGAGAAAUUUUAAGUUUUGGAUAUACUAAAGUUACUUUUGAAUUGUGCGGAACAUUAUGGAAUUUAUUCUGAUUGUAUUUGAAUUUAACCUGGACAGGAUUUGGACUAUUUUACAUAAUACUGGAUCUUACGGCUCUUUGAUAUUUUGAGAAAAAAUCACGCAGCAGAUAUCUCACUUUUGGCGACUCUUAUCAACUCUGGGCAGAUAGAAAUAUUACUUUAUUAAUACGUUCAAAGCAUGAUGACAAGGGAGAAAGUAUUCACAAGUCUGGUAUCAGUUCACACGACCGUGUUCCAAACAUUAUUAUACAAUAUGGAGUCGGAGGAACUGCCACAACGUUACAGUUUCAGAUUUUAUGUGUGCUUAUGGCCAUUCUUCAUGAAUCUGAAAUAAACUCCUUAGGCUGUUUCUAUGGAAGAAAACCAUUUUAUAAGUAUACUGUUAUUAAAACACAUGAAAUUAAAUACAAUGAACUGCGUCUUUUGCCAUUAGAUACUUGGGUUUUCAUGACUUCAAGUAAAAAUCUGUCUGCCGAAAAGCAACUGAAGUUUGAUUAUAAUAAGCGUAAAGUUCAAAUGAUGAAGAUGCAUUGUCCAUACAUUGCAGACAUAGAAACUGUUUCGAAACGUGGCCAUUUCAUUGUCCAUGAAUACCGCUCAAUUUUUGGAGUUUCUGACGAACAGAUACAACAGGCAGUGGAAUACUUACGCUAUUGGGACAUACUUCGUUUGUGUUGUGGAAAACAAAUGUCGGCAGAUUGGCGUAAUUAUUUAUCGCCGAUCAAAAACUAUAAGCCACAUCAUAGUCUGCAUAGUUCAACAUAUCCUGCUUGCGAAAUGUAUAAUAUAAGUAAAGUUGAACAACUUCUGAUGAACACGUAUGUAUUUCAGCGUUUUGCACAUAUACCGUCUGUUCGUGACGUAAUAGGGAAGCCAUCAAAUGUUGACGGUAACAUCGAUGGUCAGUAUUGUGAGCAAUGUAAUAGAAAUAUUUCGAAAAACCAUUUACGUUUUAAUGAUAAAUGUGUAUAAUACU
Molecule: RNA transcript, 4555 nt
Organism: Mercenaria mercenaria
Lineage: Eukaryota; Metazoa; Mollusca; Bivalvia; Venerida; Veneridae
Exons: 3
Source: RefSeq, a predicted model, not a curated record